UUCAGGGUAGCCUAGUGGACAUGGCAUCUGCCCAGUAAGCCGAACACUGUGGGUUCGAUUCAUAUCCCUGGAC
RNAcentral lists this transfer RNA (73 nucleotides) under Cordylochernes scorpioides. Its description in RNAcentral is "tRNA-Thr". It matches the Rfam family "tRNA". Rfam says of the family: Transfer RNA (tRNA) molecules are approximately 80 nucleotides in length. Lineage: Eukaryota; Metazoa; Arthropoda; Arachnida; Pseudoscorpiones; Chernetidae. The record is from RNAcentral.